AUCCCAGUUCGGAUCGCAGGCUGCAACCCGCCUGCGUGAAGUUGGAAUCGCUAGUAAUCGCGGAUCAGCAUGCCGCGGUGAAUACGUUCCCGGGCCUUGUACACACCGCCCGUCACACCAUGAGAGUCGGGAACACCCGAAGUCCGUAGCCUAACCGCAAGGGGGCGCGGCCGAAGGUGGGUUCGAUAAUUGGGGUGAAGUCGUAACAAGGUAAC
Molecule: ribosomal RNA, 215 nt
Filed under: uncultured bacterium
Lineage: Bacteria
Description: partial 16S ribosomal RNA
Rfam family: Bacterial small subunit ribosomal RNA
Source: RNAcentral